CGAUACACAAACUUCGCAAAGUCUAGGAAGGCGUGUAUUGGAUAUCUAUAUUCAAGGGAACCUCAGAAGGAAGGAUUCCGACAUAUCGAAGGAGGCAAGUGGGGUUAACAGAGCAGUUGCGAGACCCUUCAAGGUUAAUGUGACAGAGAAUUACCUAGAUAUUCAUCUGUUCUGGGCUGGUAAGGGAACAUGUUGCAUA
Molecule: non-coding RNA, 199 nt
Organism: Prunus avium (sweet cherry)
Lineage: Eukaryota; Viridiplantae; Streptophyta; Magnoliopsida; Rosales; Rosaceae
Source: RefSeq, a predicted model, not a curated record